AUGUCAAACCGAAAUCCUGAUGGCACACAGAGGCGUAGCCCACGUGUGAAAGCUAGUUCCCAACCUCGUAAUAGCAAAGCUGACGGGGAUAGUGUUGCUAUGAAAAUUGGUCCAAGCAAACUUGGUGGCUCCCCUGUUCGUCGGAGUCCACGAGGUUUGACAAAUAAGAAGCCUUCUUUGUCUCCUCUUCAAGAGCGGUCUUUGUUGAAUGAAAAUAAGAAGCGUAAAGUUCAUUCUGCAAAGGUGAACAAAGGUGUGAAGAAGAUGAUAUUGAACUUGAUUCUGAAGAUGAAUUUACAGUGGUGA
Molecule: ribosomal RNA, 306 nt
Filed under: Triticum aestivum (bread wheat)
Lineage: Eukaryota; Viridiplantae; Streptophyta; Magnoliopsida; Poales; Poaceae
Description: partial small subunit ribosomal RNA
Source: RNAcentral